RNAcentral lists this ribosomal RNA (253 nucleotides) under uncultured bacterium. RNAcentral describes it as "partial 16S ribosomal RNA". It matches the Rfam family "Bacterial small subunit ribosomal RNA", at positions 524 to 776 of the family's 1533-position model. The record is from RNAcentral.
UACGGGGGGGGCAAGCGUUGUUCGGAAUUACUGGGCGUAAAGGGCUCGUAGGUGGCCAACUAAGUCAGACGUGAAAUCCCUCAGCUUAACUGGGGAACUGCGUCUGAUACUGGAUGGCUUGAGUUUGGGAGAGGGAUGCGGAAUUCCAGGUGUAGCGGUGAAAUGCGUAGAUAUCUGGAGGAACACCGGUGGCGAAGGCGGCAUCCUGGACCAACACUGACACUGAGGAGCGAGAGCCAGGGGAGCAAACGGG